UUCUUUGCAUGGUCUCUUGGGAGAGAAGAGCUACUUCACCCAGCCAGCCUGACCUCACCCGACUGUCCACACCUUCCCUCCACUGACGUGGACACUGCAGCAUCCCCUUCCCAUCGUGUCCCGAGGCAGACCAACCUCAUUUCUUUUUACAGACAGUUGGCUUUUUCUUACCAAGCCCCUUCACUGUACAGAAACAACCCUUUGACAAUUCUUUUGGGAGUCCCCCCUCUCUUUCCCCGACUCCAGCCCUUUUUAUGUUGGUUUAGCACAAAUCUCCCCCCAACCUCCAAACCAGACCCCCUACCAGUCGAUAUUAAUUGUUUUAUAUCUAUUUAAUCUUAUUCGAUGGAGACCAUGCUUCGGUUGUUUUAUACUUUGCCAGGUAAACUUUAUUACCCACCCCACCUCCAACUAUGCCCUAAUUUUUUUAAAAAAGGAAAAAAAAAACACACACAAAAAAAACAAAACAAAACAAACACAGAGACUUUGGGUUCGAGUCUCGGUCUUAAUUCCCUUUCUGUGGCAGGUUUUCUUCCGUGCGUGUGCCUGUGUGUGUGUGUGGAGUGAGUUCUGAUUUGUGUUCGUUUCUCUGUUGAUUUCUCUUGUUGCUUUCUUCCAACCCCGACCCUGGUUUCCGUAUUUCACAGCACCCGGUGCAGAGAGAAGCAGAAGCAGAAAAUAAAAAAUAAAAUAAAGUAAAAAAAAAAAUUAAAAAUUUUUAAAAAAAAAGAAAAAAAAGGGAAAAAAAUUAAAAAGGAAAAAAAAAAACCAAAAGAACUAAGACAUGCCACCCCCGCCCCGCCCCCACUUCCACCCCGCAAUGUUGCUUUUCUUGAUGGUUAAUAAUAAAUACUGUCACGUAGCUGUGUACAAAGAGAUGUGAAAUACUUUCAGGCAAAAAUAAACUGUAAGUGAC
Molecule: long non-coding RNA, 916 nt
Filed under: Mus musculus (house mouse)
Lineage: Eukaryota; Metazoa; Chordata; Mammalia; Rodentia; Muridae
Description: long non-coding RNA chr8:117460582-117461498
Source: RNAcentral